Molecule: ribosomal RNA, 303 nt
Filed under: uncultured bacterium
Lineage: Bacteria
Description: partial 16S ribosomal RNA
Rfam family: Bacterial small subunit ribosomal RNA
Source: RNAcentral
AGCAGCAGCCGCGGGAAUACGGAGGGUGCAAGCGUUAAUCGGAAUUACUGGGCGUAAAGCGCACGCAGGCGGUCUGACAAGUCAGAUGUGAAAUCCCCGGGCUUAACCUGGGAACUGCAUUUGAAACUGUCAGGCUGGAGUCUUGUAGAGGGGGGUGGAAUUCCAGGUGUAGCGGUGAAAUGCGUAGAGAUCUGGAGGAAUACCGGUGGCGAAGGCGGCCCCCUGGACUAAGACUGACGCUCAGGUGCGAAAGCGUGGGGAGCAAACAGGAUUAGAUACCCCGGUAGUCCCUGUCUCUUAUCC